AAGUCGUAACAAGGUUUCCGUAGGUGAACCUGCGGAAGGAUCAUUACAGAGUUCAUGCCCUCACGGGUAGGUCUCCCACCCUUGAGUAUUAUACCUUUGUUGCUUUGGCGGGACGCCCCGGCCACCGGCUCCGGCUGGUGAGUGCCCGCCAGAGGACCCUAAACCCUUGAAUUUGCAUAGUCUGAGUAUUAUAUAAUAGUUAAAACUUUCAACAACGGAUCUCUUGGUUCUGGCAUCGAUGAAGAACGCAGCGAAAUGCGAUAAGUAAUGUGAAUUGCAGAAUUCAGUGAAUCAUCGAAUCUUUGAACGCACAUUGCGCCCCUCGGUAUUCCGGGGGGCAUGCCUGUUCGAGCGUCAUUUAAACCCUCAAGCCUGGCUUGGUGUUGGGGCAUGCCUCUGGGCAGCUCUUAAAAUUAGUGGCGGUGCCGUCUGGCUCUAAGCGUAGUAAAUCUCUCGCUAUAGGGUCCGGCGGUUGCCUGCCAGAACCUAAACUUCUAUGGUUGACCUCGGAUCAGGUAGGGAUACCCGCUGAACUUAAGCAUAUCAAUAAGCGGAGGAAAAGAAACCAACAGGGAUUGCCUCAGUAACGGCGAGUGAAGCGGCAACAGCUCAAAUUUGAAAUCUGGCUCUUCUAGGGUCCGAGUUGUAAUUUGUAGAAGAUGCUUCGGGUGUGGCUCCGGUCUAAGUUCCUUGGAACAGGACGUCAUAGAGGGUGAGAAUCCCGUAUGUGACCGGUCGCCUUCGCCCGUGUGAAGCUCUUUCGACGAGUCGAGUUGUUUGGGAAUGCAGCUCAAAAUGGGUGGUAAAUUUCAUCUAAAGCUAAAUAUUGGCCAGAGACCGAUAGCGCACAAGUAGAGUGAUCGAAAGAUGAAAAGCACUUUGGAAAGAGAGUUAAACAGUACGUGAAAUUGUUGAAAGGGAAGCGCUUGCAACCAGACUUGCACGCAGUUGAUCAUCCGGUGUUCUCACCGGUGCACUCUGCUACGUUCAGGCCAGCAUCGGUUUUGGUGGUUGGAUAAAGGCCUUGGGAAUGUGGCUCCCCUCGGGGAGUGUUAUAGCCCUCGGUGCAAUGCAGCCUACCAGGACCGAGGACCGCGCUUCGGCUAGGAUGCUGGCGUAAUGGUUGUAAGCGACC
Molecule: ribosomal RNA, 1135 nt
Filed under: uncultured fungus
Lineage: Eukaryota; Fungi
Description: eukaryotic LSU rRNA
Rfam family: Eukaryotic large subunit ribosomal RNA (bases 502-1135)
Source: RNAcentral